Molecule: non-coding RNA, 7893 nt
Organism: Chlorocebus sabaeus (green monkey)
Lineage: Eukaryota; Metazoa; Chordata; Mammalia; Primates; Cercopithecidae
Source: RefSeq, a predicted model, not a curated record
CUCAGGAAAGAAGAAAAAGUACAUUCUUUUCCAGGACACUAAGUUGGUGCUCCAACAGUCUCCGAAGAUUGCAAAUAAGAAAAUCCCAGAUUCCAUUCCAAGAUGGCCAAAUAGGAACAGCUCCAGCCUGCAGUUCCCAGUGUGACUGACACAGAAGACGGGUGAUUUCUGCAUUUCCACCUAAGCUGAAAAUGACAAAAAUAGGAGCAGAAGAUCACAGAGAAGCACUAUCUCAGUCUUCCUUAUCCCCCUUGACUAAAACAAUGGAAGUAUUACAGCAAAGUAGUCCUGAAGACACCUUGGAUGAGAAUACUGUAAACCCAAUUUACAAAUAUAUUUUGAACGAUUUACCAAGAGAGUUUAUGUCAUCCCAAGCAAAAGCAGUUAUUAAAACUACUGAUGAUUAUUUGCAGCCUCAGUUUGGCCCCAACAGACUUGUGCAUUCAGCAGCAGUACCAGCAGGGUCAGGACUUCAGGAUUACUCCACACAUCAAACAGCAUCAGAUCACAGCCGUGAUGAAAUAUCAGACCUAGAUAGCUACAAAUCAAACAGUAAAAAUAAUUCUUGUUUUAUAUCAGCAUCCAAGAGAAACAGACCUGUCAGUGCUCCAGUGGGUCAACUGAGGGUUGCAGAGUUCUCUUCUUUAAAAUUUCAGUCAGCCUGGAAUUGGCAGAGAUUGUCUCAAAGACACAAACUUCAACCAAGAGUGAUUAAAGUAACAGCUUACAAAAAUGGAUCUAGAACAGUUUUUGCCAAAGUUACUGUACCAACCAUCACCUUGCUGCUGGAACAGUGCACAGAAAAGCUGAAUCUGAACAUGGCCGCAAGACGAGUGUUCUUGGCAGACGGCAAGGAAGCCCUCAAACCUGAAGAUAUACCCCAUGAAGCCGAUGUUUAUGUUUCAACGGGAGAGCCCUUUUUAAAUCCACUCAAAAAAAUUAAAGACCAUCUGUUGUUAAUGAAGAAAGUAACUUGGACAAUGAAUGGGUUGAUGCUUCCUACUGAUGUCAAAAGACGGAAAACCAAGCCUGUUCUUUCUAUUAGAAUGAAGAAACUUACUGAGAGGACCUCAGUCCGAAUUCUGUUCUUUAAGAAUGGCAUGGGGCAGGAUGGGCAUGUGAUUACAGUGGGAAAAGAAACAAUGAAAAAGGUUUUAGAUACUUGUACAAUGAGAAUGAAUCUAAAUUUACCAGCCAGAUAUUUUUAUGAUUUGUAUGGCAGAAAAAUUGAAGAUAUUUCAAAAGUUCCUCUGCUUGAAAAAUGCCUGCAAAAUUCCAUCACACCUUUGCGGGGACCACUUUGGGUUUCUAAGGGAGAAGGUUUCAGCCCCUCAGGAGCUAAGAUGUACAUCCAAGGAGUUCUUUUGGCCCUGUACCAACGAUUAAAGUCUACAAAAAAAUAUUAUAAACAGCUGAACCUGGCCAUGAAUGAACAGAAGGAGGAAAUUACAGAAAAAGUCAUUCUUUCAAUGACAGCAAAGGAACACCAUAAGGAACAUGAAGAAGUGAGCAGGCUGAUUGAUGAAUUGCAGACAGCUAUCAAAAGCAACAGAGGUCAUCUCUCUAAACUUGGCCCCCAAUUACAGGCUGAGCAGGAGCAAUUCUCCUCUUAUGUCUACCAACACAUUAAAAGCCUUCCAGCAAACACGCUUGUCCCAGGAGGCCUGCAGCUCAAGGUAUUUGAAAAUGGUAAAAACACUGGAGAGAUCUCUGUUGGUAUCAGGAAAAAAGAUCUGGGAUCUGAUAGCCCAAUUCAGACUGAUCAUAUGAUGGAAAGAUUACUUCUCAAGAUUCAUCAAAGGCUUCGAGGUUCUUCCAUCAACCCACCAGGCCUCAAUUUUUCCUCAAUGCGGCUUUUUGAUGAGAAUGGCCAAGAAAUUAAGAAUCCACUUUUGCUGAAGAAUGAGCAAAAAAUUUGGGUCUCUUAUGGUAGAGCAUACAGAUCUCCACUAAACCUUGCUUUGGGUUUGACCUUUGACCGAGUGAGUGCAUUUGCCAGAGGUGACAUCAUGGUUGCAUAUAAGACCUUUUUGGGUCCUAAUGCUGUUCUGCUACCUGGAUGUGGCAACUGGGAAGUUUGUGAGGGAUUUCCAAUUAAUUUCAACUAUACCAGUCAACAGAUACCUGACCAGUUUAAAAAGGUGGACUUGGAGAACCAUUUUCUACAGAACAAGGUAGAUCCCAAUAUUGUCCUUCAUGCCUCUGUUUCCAUUGGAAAGUGGAGUUUCUCAGGCAGUGAAGCAAGCAGCAGGAGUCAAAUAGUGCCAUCGAUCCUUUGGCCUGCAGCCAGUGUGUGGCUGAUCACCAAGACUGGAAUGAUCCUGAGUCGAGCGAUAACUCAGGGCUGCCUGGCUAUUGGUCAUCCUAUCAGAGUCAAGGCUGCUGAGGGAACAUCACUAGAAGGAUACAAAUUAAUCCUACAGAAAAGACGUAGUGGAGAUGAAUCUCAGAAGUGGGUGUUUGGAACUGAUGGUUGCAUUUAUUCAAAGGCUUAUCCUCAGUUUGUUCUGACCUACCUAGAGGAGCUAAAUGCACAAGUAGAUGUGACCCAGACAGAGAAUCACUUUCACCAUGGUGCCUGGACCACAGCUCAUCAGGAACAUGGCAGAAACUUAGAAGAGGUUCUGCAAGAAAGUGCCAGCAACCCUGGUCUGAAGCAACUGCCAGAACCCUCAGACACCCAUUUAAUGCCAGAAGGUUCUCUUGAGGAGAUAGGGCAGCUGACGGUAGCACUGGUGAGGAAACUGGAAGAGAAACAUCCUAAGGCUUCUGCUCAGAGGUGGGCCAUAAAACAUGAAGGAACCAAUAAGCCAGGGCAGUGGAAACAUUCCAGAGUUGAAAAUCCUCUGUGGAACAAGCUUACCUACAUGUGGCCUGUCCUUCCCAGUGGCCAACUUAAUGAGGAGUUUGAUUGGCCGAUACAAGGACUGCUUGUUCCGAGCAGUCCUCCCAUGAAAAAACCCAUCUGUAAGACAACGGAGCCAUAUGCCCCUGUGCGACUCAGAGUUUUGCGGAAUGGAGACAAGAAUAGAAACAGAUCCCUUACUAUCCUUGGUCCAGACAUCUCACCUGGAUGGAAAACACAAAGUGUUCACACUGAAAAGAGAGAGAAAAUCUGUGUCACUAAAUAUACUGAAACAGAAAUGGACCAGAUAGAAUUUCACCAAUUUUUGGAAAGGUGCACUGAGAUUUUAAAUUUACCUUCUGCAGCUCGGAGAUUGUACAAUGAAAAGGGGAAGGAAAUAUUUGCCUUAAAAGACCUGCAAAGAGAUGAACUGGUGUAUGUUUCAUGUGGAGAACAUUGGAUCAAUCCUGACCUGUCCAUUGCUCAACAAAAGAAACAAAUCUUCCUGAGGAACCUAGCAUCAGACAUUUCCAAAAUUCAAAUCUUCUGUAGCAUACGUAAAAUAGAAGCUCUUGUUUUAGAAGUCCAAAGUGACAUUGUAUCUGGAAGCAAGCUUGCUGUGCAUAAACCUGCAGCAGUUUUUGGCAAAGAGAAGCAAGUUACAGAACCAGAAGAAAAGCAAAUGCAAAAAGAUGCUCUAACAACGGAAAAUGCUUCCAGUGAAAUUCUAGAUUCACAUGCGAGAGCUCAUCUUCGAAUGAAGGCUUGUCACACACUUCUCAGGUAUGCCUGGCAGGAAACUUCGCAUGACUUUGAUAAGGAUGACAGUCUUCCAAAGAAAAUGGAAAAAGGGCUCUUUGAAAAUGUGGAACCACAGAAGAAAUACAGCUGUUCACCAAAGCAUAGUAAAUUGCACAAGCAUUGCCAUCAGCAGUUCGAAUACAGAGAUGGGCAGAUUAUAAGCCUUGCUGCUCCUCAGCUAGUCUUGGGGGUUCAAGGUCCCAGUCUCCGGUCAGGCAUGGAGGUGGUUUUGGUGGAGAAGAAAUCUGAUGGUAGUAAUCAGCGCUGGAUACAUCAGGAAGACAGCAGGACCUUUCACUUGGUGAGUAACCCUGACCUUGUGCUGGCGGUGUCUAUGACCAAGACUGGAAAUGAAGUUUGUGGCUAUCCAGUUAUUGUUCAGAAAUAUAAGCCAUACAACAAUGGAGCUGCCAAUCAAAAGUGGCAUUACAUGAAAGAUAUAAAAGCACUUGUGGCCUUUCAUAGCACUGCCUUGGAUAAGGAAAUUACAUCAGCAAAUUACGCUGGCAUCUGUACAUCAUCUGUGAUUAAAGAGGAAAACAUUGAUCAACCAGGAUACUAUUAUCUCUCACCUGAUGGAAAGAGAAAAACUAUGCUCUGCUUGGCUUGUGGACAAUCCAUGAGAACAGAGAAGGGAUUGAAACAGUUGCUUCCAGGGGUUCCAUUCCUCUGUAUUUCAGGCACCAAGACUCAGAAGCCCUUCUUACAAGGGCCAUUCAAGGUCAUCAGUGUGGCUGAGGUUGAUUUGUCAUGUGACGAGGCUGAAAAAACUCUGAGUUAUUACCAAGCACGUCUAUUGUCUUUACGAAUGAAGACCUGCACGCAAGCUGCAUCUCACAGUGGCAUGGCAGCCACACACCAGAAGGCAGUGAAAAUAAUUGCAUACAAAAAUGGGGAUGGAUAUCGUAAUGGGAAGUUAAUUGUGGCUGGAACAUUCCCCAUGCUUCUUACAGAAUGCACGGAAAAACUCAGGCUUGCCAGAGCCGCCUCCAAAGUAUAUACCAAAGAUGGAACUCCAAUCUUUACCUUGCGUGAUUUGGUUUUAUGGGCUCUAGAUGACUCCUUUCUCCAGAGAGACUCUGAGAAACAAAAGCAAGAUGCAGCUCCUGUUGGAAAAGAACAGAUAAUUGUUGAAAGUAUGGAAGAAAAUCUAAGAAUGAAAGUGAAAAACAGAUUAUUUCCAAAAUCUGUGACAUCUGAUAGUUUGGAUGGUAUAGAUAAGUCUUUGCUUACCCUCAUCCUCAGAAAUCCUAUUGCCAUCUGGGUAUCUUCUGGUGAACCAUUUCUACCUCCAAAUGCUUUGCAGAAAGCAGAAAAAUUAGAGAAACAGAACUGGCUGAAAAAGGACAGAAUUUUGGCUGAUCUAGAUACCAUGAGACACAAAAUGAGACAGUUAAAAGGGCGGCGAGUAGCGGCAUGUCAGCCAGCCACCAUGGUUCCUACCAAAAGCCCUGUGCAGCCUGUGGUGGUUGAAGGAGGCUGGACCGAACAGGCUCAAGAGGAAAUUAAACUCAUGGAACUUAUAAGACAUACAGAGGCACACCUUUCUGAAAUUCGAGCAAUGGACUCCAAAAGAAAUUUUCCAGUUGCAACUAAACCUAUAGCAGUCAAGCCGAGCAGCCUGUAUAAGCAGCCCAACACAAAACGAGUGUGGAUUUAUCUAAAUGGAGGCAGACCUGAAGAUGGCACUUAUGCCUGGGGCAAAACUGUUUCAGAGCUGCUGCAAGACUGCUCCUCUCGUCUCAAAAUGACCCACCCAGCUAGAGCACUGUACACCCCCAAUGGAGAGCCAAUUCAGUCCUGGGACGACAUAGAGCGAGAUAUGGUCAUCUGUGUGUCUAUGGGACAUGGUUUCAAAACCCCAAAAGAGUUAAAACAACUGAUGGAGAUCAGAGCAAAUUAUGUCAGAAUCCGAAGGCAGCAGGGCCCUCAAGCCACAGACAUUAUGGUGUCACCAUCCACAAAGCUGCUGUCUCUGGCACAUCUCCACAAUUAACUCCUAUCAGAACCAUUGGAUUUUCUGCUGUAUUUUGCUGCUGAUUCCUGGAAGUUCAUCUGCUUAGUAGGUCCUUUCUACAGGUGCUCACCAGGAUCUGCAUACGGGGUCACCUUCACCUUCAGAAGCCCAAUUUAAAUCUCACCAGAGCAACAGAGGGAGGUCACAGCAUGACUUUGUGGUAGCCAAGGCCUGGAGGUGGCUCCUUCCAGGGAAAGAUUCCUGGACUUGGAGACAAAGCCCUCUUGAGUCUUACCUUCCUGCAGUCUUGGGAAAGUUGCUUGUUAUAAGACUCAAACGAGAUCAUCAACACAGAAAGAGAAGGACACUAACAUUUUUAGAGUGUCUACCUGUACCAGGCACCAUAUUGGACUUUUACAUAUAUGUUGUCUGUCUCAUUCAGUAUUCACAACCACCCUAUGAAGUAGAUAUUUCUUCUACUACUUUUACGUUUUACAGAUGGGAAAGCUGGGCUUUGAAGAAGUGAAAUAUCUUUGCCAAAGGCACCAGCCAAUAAGUGGCAGAACUGGGAUUUAUACCCAAAUCUGCCUAACCUCAAAGCCUGUGUUUUCCAUUUAGGUUCCCUAGAAACCCCUUGUAAGUUUUCAGUGCAACAGAAAUGUUAGAUGUGGUCUUGGUAAUUCUGAAAAUGAGUUCAUUAGAUGCCUUGAAGUGAUCGUUUUUAUGGUUUAGUUGCUGCUUAUUUGGAUGACUUUCCUGAUGACAACUGAGUUAGGCAAGGAAAGAAAACAUUCUUCAUCUACUUAUAAACAGAAGACUGUGACAAGAAGGCCAAUUAUUUCCAUCGCCGAAGACGCUAAAUUUGGCAAAUCUUCUAAAUAACAAUCCUGCAUAGUUUAAGAAAAAAAAAAUUAGUCGUAAAAUUUGUCCUUCAAAAUAACUCAGUGUUUUCAAUGGGCCUAUUUUGAAGAAUGAACAUUGACAAAUCAGACAAUAGAUCCAUAAAUUCAUCGUAUGACAUACCAUAAUUGAGAGCACUGUUCACCAUAGACAUUUUUGUAUGCUAAUGAAAUCUGUAUACAUUCUCUAGAUUUUUCCAGUUUAUAGUGUGGCUUAUUGGAAAAAAAAACCGCAUAUAUAUUGAAUGCAUGUUUUUUCUCCCCAACUAAAUGAUAAGUGCCUAGAGGGCAGGAAGACCCUUGGUUUUAUUUACUUGGGACAGAGCUCUACCCACAAGGGCUCACUGAUAAAACUCAUCGGUCCCACCCCACAGCAACAUGAUGGGGACAUGAGGUUCAGUUCUUCUACUCUUGGCCUGAGCCGCAAACCAAAAUUACAAUAGUACAAUGGGAAUAGAGGAUUUGCUUUAUAAAAUUUCCUUUCAGUCAGCUGCUCAGAAACUACAAUCCUCAGAGUCAAAUUAAGUGGAGUUAUACUUGGAUAGUCCUCUCUGCUUUUCAGAGGCAAGAAACACUUCUCGAAAUUGUGCAAAUGAAAGAAAUGUCAUAGUAUAAACUGGACAUCUUAUAUCCUUAAAAUAAAUCUUUGAUGAUUAUACAUUUUGGUUUCAAAACCCACGUUUGAAGAAACGCCCAAAAAUUAUAUGAAAUUACUUAUAAAUGAAUUGACAACAUUUGAGACUUCGACAGACAAUCAUGAAGCAGUUCUCAAGCGGAUUUGGUUUAUAUACUCCUUUAAGAAUCUUUUGGAAAACCAUAAUCUCACAAAAUAUACAUAUGCAAUUUUUUUUUUUUUUUUUUUUUUUUUGAGAUGGAGUCUCACUCUGUUGUACAGGCUGGCGUGCAGUGGCACGAUUCGGCUCACUGCAACCUCCGCCUCCAGGGUUCAAGCAAUUCUCCUGUCUCAGCCUCCUGACUAGCUGGGACUACAGGUGCCUGCCACCACGCCCAGCUAAUUUUUGUAUUUUUAGUAGAGAUGGGGUUUCACCUUAUUGGUCAGGCUGGUCUUGAACUCCUGACCUCAGGUGAUCCACCUGCCUCUGCCUCCUAAAGUGCUGGGAUUACAGGCAUGAGUCACCACACCUGGCCCAAAAAAUGUUUUUUCAUGCAAUAUUUGGGGGUUCACAGAGCUAUGGAUGAACUUUCCAAAUAAGUUCUGAUAAAAGAGAAGAUAUUUCUCAUUUCCAUAAUCUUUAAGGUGUGGGGGACACAUAAUCCGGACUUCUCAAAUGGAUGAUUUCUAAAUACAGGUCAGAUGAAGUGAUUCUAACUUUCACUGUAGUAAUAUUUUGUUAUAUUCAAAAACAAUAAACCAUGUAGAUUUCUUAGCA